RNAcentral lists this ribosomal RNA (251 nucleotides) under uncultured Streptococcus sp. Its description in RNAcentral is "partial 16S ribosomal RNA". It matches the Rfam family "Bacterial small subunit ribosomal RNA", at positions 93 to 339 of the family's 1533-position model. The record is from RNAcentral. Lineage: Bacteria; Bacillati; Bacillota; Bacilli; Lactobacillales; Streptococcaceae.
UAGUGGCGAACGGGUGAGUAACACGUGGGUAACCUGCCCAUCAGAGGGGGAUAACUAUUGGAAACGAUAGCUAAUACCGCAUAACAGUAGAUAUUGCAUGAUAUCUACUUGAAAGGUGCAAUUGCAUCACUACCAGAUGGACCUGCGUUGUAUUAGCUAGUUGGUGGGGUAACGGCUCACCAAGGCGACGAUACAUAGCCGACCUGAGAGGGUGAUCGGCCACACUGGGACUGAGACACGGCCCAGACUCC